GGCCACGUUGGGCGGAGAUGCGAGGCGGAAGGCGGAAGAGCCUGUGCUCGGGAGACGGCCACGUGAUCGCGCGCCCGCAGCGCCGAUUGGCCGGACGCUCCCGGGCCACGCCCCAGGGGCGGAGCCUUCGCUGUCCGGCGCCGGCGCUGUCGCGGGGAAAGAAGAGUCCUCGGGCGCCCUUGGGAGCCGCCCCGGUGGGCGUGUUGCUGUCCAGAGUUUCACUCCCAAGGCUUUCUGGAGAGGGAGCAUGGUAGAAAGGAAGGAAGCUUUGUUGUCACAGAGAGCAAAUGGCAAGCUGGUGUCCCACCUAGUGGUCAGCGGGAGGUAGCCCAUUUCAAAAAGAGAUGGGAAGACAUUUCAUAUUAUCUUCUGUGGGGCAGAAGCCUGAAGAACUGUUAUCGGUUCAUCCUUUUCUCUCCACUUACAGAGGCCCGGGCAAGAAGCAGAACUGCUGGAUCGAAGAGCAAGUAUUUUCUUUCCAGUGAUUGUACCAAAUUUCCCUUCAAAUACUCGUGUGUAAUUUUGGACGAUGACGAAUAAGGCUGCUGUGAACAUUCUGGAACAUGUCUUUUGGUGCACACGGAGAGGAAAUGCUAGGCCCUCGGGCAAGCACAUGUUCAUCUUUAGUCAUGUACUUAGUACUUUCGUACGGUUUAGUCCUUCUUGUGCUGAUGCUGUGGGUGCCCACAGAUCCUCCCUCCACGACCAAACACUGGUUCCCCACCUGUCAGGACGUUGGCUGCUGAUGGCUCUCAGCUGAGACCCCUCCCCAGGCACUGCACUCAGCUGAAGGGAGCUGCCUGGCCAGACAAUGUACCCCUAGCCUGGUGGCAGCCCAGGUGCAAUGACUGAUGGAUGUGAGGAUAGAAAAGUCCAGCCCCCAUGUUAAUUGUGGACAUCUGUGAAGGGCCAUCCCAGCUUCAGAGCUCCCCAAGGGAUCUCCUGGGGUCUCCAUUACAAUGUUGAAUAGAAACAGUGAGGGUGAACCCCUGUGCCUUGUUACCAAUGUGAAGGGGAAAGCAACCUUGAAUUCUUGGAAUAAACUCCUGGAACAAAUUGGUCAUGUGUUAUUAUUUUUAUGUUUU
This 1085-nucleotide long non-coding RNA is filed under the name Equus asinus (donkey). Its description in RNAcentral is "lncRNA (ENSEASG00005033824.1)". Lineage: Eukaryota; Metazoa; Chordata; Mammalia; Perissodactyla; Equidae. The record is from RNAcentral.